UUACCAUGCAGUCGAACGGCAGCACGGGAGCAAUCCUGGUGGCGAGUGGCGAACGGGUGAGUAAUACAUCGGAACGUGUCCUGUAGUGGGGGAUAGCCCGGCGAAAGCCGGAUUAAUACCGCAUACGCUCUACGGAGGAAAGGGGGGGAUCUUCGGACCUCUCGCUACAGGGGCGGCCGAUGGCAGAUUAGCUAGUUGGUGGGGUAAAGGCCUACCAAGGCGACGAUCUGUAGCUGGUCUGAGAGGACGACCAGCCACACUGGGACUGAGACACGGCCCAGACUCCUACGGGAGGCAGCAGUGGGGAAUUUUGGACAAUGGGGGCAACCCUGAUCCAGCAAUGCCGCGUGUGUGAAGAAGGCCUUCGGGUUGUAAAGCACUUUUGUCCGGAAAGAAAACUUCGGCCCUAAUACGGCGGGAGGAUGACGGUACCGGAAGAAUAAGCACCGGCUAACUACGUGCCAGCAGCCGCGGUAAUACGUAGGGUGCAAGCGUUAAUCGGAAUUACUGGGCGUAAAGCGUGCGCAGGCGGUCCGCUAAGACAGAUGUGAAAUCCCCGGGCUUAACCUGGGAACUGCAUUUGUGACUGGCGGGCUAGAGUAUGGCAGAGGGGGGUAGAAUUCCACGUGUAGCAGUGAAAUGCGUAGAGAUGUGGAGGAAUACCGAUGGCGAAGGCAGCCCCCUGGGCCAAUACUGACGCUCAUGCACGAAAGCGUGGGGAGCAAACAGGAUUAGAUACCCUGGUAGUCCACGCCCUAAACGAUGUCAACUAGUUGUUGGGGAUUCAUUUCCUUAGUAACGUAGCUAACGCGUGAAGUUGACCGCCUGGGGAGUACGGUCGCAAGAUUAAAACUCAAGAAA
RNAcentral lists this ribosomal RNA (861 nucleotides) under Burkholderia sp. NAS4(4). RNAcentral's name for it is "bacterial SSU rRNA". It matches the Rfam family "Bacterial small subunit ribosomal RNA", at positions 49 to 908 of the family's 1533-position model. The record is from RNAcentral. Lineage: Bacteria; Pseudomonadati; Pseudomonadota; Betaproteobacteria; Burkholderiales; Burkholderiaceae.